Dermochelys coriacea (leatherback sea turtle) is the source of this 150-nucleotide long non-coding RNA. RefSeq lists it as uncharacterized. The transcript has 4 exons. Lineage: Eukaryota; Metazoa; Chordata; Testudines; Dermochelyidae. The record is from RefSeq and is a predicted model, not a curated record.
UUCAAGCCUAAUCAGUGGAAGCAAUCACUACUUAGCUUGGUACCAACAGAAAUCAGGACAAGCUCCUAAGCUCCUUAUCUACUAUGCUACCAACCGUCCCUCUGGCAUCCCAGAUCGGUUCAGUGGCAGUGGGUCGGGCACUGACUUCAC